Molecule: ribosomal RNA, 434 nt
Filed under: uncultured bacterium
Lineage: Bacteria
Description: partial 16S ribosomal RNA
Rfam family: Bacterial small subunit ribosomal RNA
Source: RNAcentral
AGCGAACGCUGGCGGCAGGCCUAACACAUGCAAGUCGAACGAACCUUUCGGGGUUAGUGGCGGACGGGUGAGUAACACGUGGGAACGUGCCUUUAGGUUCGGAAUAACUCAGGGAAACUUGUGCUAAUACCGAAUGUGCCCUUCGGGGGAAAGAUUUAUCGCCUUUAGAGCGGCCCGCGUCUGAUUAGCUAGUUGGUUGAGGUAAUGGCUCACCAAGGCGACGAUCAGUAGCUGGUCUGAGAGGAUGAUCAGCCACAUUGGGACUGAGACACGGCCCAAACUCCUACGGGAGGCAGGAGUGGGGAAUCUAGCGAAAUGGGCGAAAGCCUGACGCAGCCAUGCCGCGUGAAUGAUGAAGGUCGUAGGAUUGUAAAAUUCUUUCAACGGGGACGAUAAUGACGGUACCCGGAGAAGAAGCCCCGGCUAACUUCGUG